Molecule: ribosomal RNA, 480 nt
Filed under: Labidocera jollae
Lineage: Eukaryota; Metazoa; Arthropoda; Copepoda; Calanoida; Pontellidae
Description: eukaryotic LSU rRNA
Rfam family: Eukaryotic large subunit ribosomal RNA (bases 296-480)
Source: RNAcentral
AGACAUGAGCAUCGACACUUUGAACGCAUAUUGCAGGCCUGUGCUUGUAACAGGCCUACCCUUGUGUCAGGGUCGGUAAUACAACAUCCAUCAGGAAUUUAUUCCUGCACUGUCUCCUCGGCUAGGCUUGUCCUGGAUCGGGAGAUUAAAUUGUGUCUAGCUGGCUUGGCUCGCCAUUCAACUCUUGGGACUUAAAAACUCCUGGGUUGUUGGCAUUGGGCUGCUGGCAUCCAGACACUGGCAUGUGAGGUGGCAACUGUCUUUGCACCUCUUUCGUUGCCUUCAUUUUUUUUUUCGACCUGACAUCAAGGGAGGUUACCCGCCGAAUUUAAGCAUAUUAAUAAGCGGAGGAAAAGAAAACAACUGUGAUUCCCUUAGUAAUGGCGAAUGAAACGGGAGAAGCCCAUCGCUGAACCGCUGGCCAUACAGGUCAUGCGGAAUGUAGCGUUUGGAAGGUCUCUUUCCAAGGUCUAGACACCA